GACGGACGCUGGCGGCGUGCUUAACACAUGCAAGUCGAACGGAAAGGCCCUGCUUUUGUGGGGUGCUCGAGUGGCGAACGGGUGAGUAACACGUGAGUAACCUGCCCUUGACUUUGGGAUAACUUCAGGAAACUGGGGCUAAUACCGGAUAGGAGCUCCUGCUUCAUGGUGGGGGUUGGAAAGUUUCGGCGGUUGGGGAUGGACUCGCGGCUUAUCAGCUUGUUGGUGGGGUAGUGGCUUACCAAGGCUUUGACGGGUAGCCGGCCUGAGAGGGUGACCGGCCACAUUGGGACUGAGAUGCGGCCCAGACUCCUACGGGAGGCAGCAGUGGGGAAUAGUGCACAAUGGGCGGAAGCCUGAUGCAGCAACGCCGCGUGCGGGAUGACGGCCUUCGGGUUGUAAACCGCUUUCGCCUGUGACGAAGCGUGAGUGACGGUAAUGGGUAAAGAAGCACCGGCUAACUACGUG
Molecule: ribosomal RNA, 468 nt
Filed under: uncultured bacterium
Lineage: Bacteria
Description: partial 16S ribosomal RNA
Rfam family: Bacterial small subunit ribosomal RNA
Source: RNAcentral